RNAcentral lists this ribosomal RNA (1372 nucleotides) under uncultured bacterium. Its description in RNAcentral is "bacterial SSU rRNA". It matches the Rfam family "Bacterial small subunit ribosomal RNA", at positions 28 to 1381 of the family's 1533-position model. The record is from RNAcentral.
GAUGAACGCUGGCGGCGUGCCUAAUACAUGCAAGUCGAGCGAACGGACGAGAAGCUUGCUUCUCUGAUGUUAGCGGCGGACGGGUGAGUAACACGUGGAUAACCUACCUAUAAGACUGGGAUAACUUCGGGAAACCGAAGCUAAUACCGGAUAAUAUUUUGAACCGCAUGGUUCAAAAGUGAAAGACGGUCUUGCUGUCACUUAUAGAUGGAUCCGCGCUGCAUUAGCUAGUUGGUAAGGUAACGGCUUACCAAGGCAACGAUGCAUAGCCGACCUGAGAGGGUGAUCGGCCACACUGGAACUGAGACACGGUCCAGACUCCUACGGGAGGCAGCAGUAGGGAAUCUUCCGCAAUGGGCGAAAGCCUGACGGGGCAACGCCGCGUGAGUGAUGAAGGUCUUCGGAUCGUAAAACUCUGUUAUUAGGGAAGAACAUAUGUGUAAGUAACUGUGCACAUCUUGACGGUACCUAAUCAGAAAGCCACGGCUAACUACGUGCCAGCAGCCGCGGUAAUACGUAGGUGGCAAGCGUUAUCCGGAAUUAUUGGGCGUAAAGCGCGCGUAGGCGGUUUUUUAAGUCUGAUGUGAAAGCCCACGGCUCAACCGUGGAGGGUCAUUGGAAACUGGAAAACUUGAGUGCAGAAGAGGAAAGUGGAAUUCCAUGUGUAGCGGUGAAAUGCGCAGAGAUAUGGAGGAACACCAGUGGCGAAGGCGACUUUCUGGUCUGUAACUGACGCUGAUGUGCGAAAGCGUGGGGAUCAAACAGGAUUAGAUACCCUGGUAGUCCACGCCGUAAACGAUGAGUGCUAAGUGUUAGGGGGUUUCCGCCCCUUAGUGCUGCAGCUAACGCAUUAAGCACUCCGCCUGGGGAGUACGACCGCAAGGUUGAAACUCAAAGGAAUUGACGGGGACCCGCACAAGCGGUGGAGCAUGUGGUUUAAUUCGAAGCAACGCGAAGAACCUUACCAAAUCUUGACAUCCUUUGACAACUCUAGAGAUAGAGCCUUCCCCUUCGGGGGACAAAGUGACAGGUGGUGCAUGGUUGUCGUCAGCUCGUGUCGUGAGAUGUUGGGUUAAGUCCCGCAACGAGCGCAACCCUUAAGCUUAGUUGCCAUCAUUAAGUUGGGCACUCUAAGUUGACUGCCGGUGACAAACCGGAGGAAGGUGGGGAUGACGUCAAAUCAUCAUGCCCCUUAUGAUUUGGGCUACACACGUGCUACAAUGGACAAUACAAAGGGCAGCGAAACCGCGAGGUCAAGCAAAUCCCAUAAAGUUGUUCUCAGUUCGGAUUGUAGUCUGCAACUCGACUACAUGAAGCUGGAAUCGCUAGUAAUCGUAGAUCAGCAUGCUACGGUGAAUACGUUCCCGGGUCU